RNAcentral lists this ribosomal RNA (404 nucleotides) under uncultured bacterium. Its description in RNAcentral is "bacterial SSU rRNA". It matches the Rfam family "Bacterial small subunit ribosomal RNA", at positions 362 to 758 of the family's 1533-position model. The record is from RNAcentral.
UUUUGGACAAUGGGCGAAAGCCUGAUCCAGCAAUGCCGCGUGCAGGAAGAAGGCCUUCGGGUUGUAAACUGCUUUUGUACGGAACGAAACGGUCUGCCCUAAUACGGCGGGCUAAUGACGGUACCGUAAGAAUAAGCACCGGCUAACUACGUGCCAGCAGCCGCGGUAAUACGUAGGGUGCGAGCGUUAAUCGGAAUUACUGGGCGUAAAGCGUGCGCAGGCGGUUAUGUAAGACAGUUGUGAAAUCCCCGGGCUCAACCUGGGAAUUGCAUCUGUGACUGCAUAGCUAGAGUACGGUAGAGGGGGAUGGAAUUCCGCGUGUAGCAGUGAAAUGCGUAGAUAUGCGGAGGAACACCGAUGGCGAAGGCAACCCCCUGGACCUGUACUGACGCUCAUGCACGAAA